Molecule: long non-coding RNA, 638 nt
Filed under: Pogona vitticeps (central bearded dragon)
Lineage: Eukaryota; Metazoa; Chordata; Lepidosauria; Squamata; Agamidae
Description: lncRNA (ENSPVIG00000005682.1)
Source: RNAcentral
AAAUAGAUAUUAUUUCAUAAUCCGUUUAUACUCAGCCUUAAAACAAUUACUUGCUGACCAUUGUGUGGAAAUCACAUUGUAAAUAGUUAUCCUUUUCUCUUUUUUUUGUAAAAUCUGCUUAGCAAAAUACACUAAACCAAUAUGCAGAUGGAAUAGAUAGUAACAAUUAAACAUAACAUUUUGGCAAAAAAGUUGAGUGUAGUGGGUAUUCAGAAUUCAAAGUGCUUUAUGGAAGAAUGUUCGAUGUAGGGAUGACAAGCACAAUUCAUAGGACAGCGUUGUACGGAAAGAUUGCAAGAGAAGGACAACACGCAGAAUUUUUGCUCAUUGGAAAAAUACCGAUUCGAUUAGUUUCCACGGCAGGAGAAAACAUGCUGUGUGCUACAGCUCAGGAUCACAGCCUUGAAGCAUCGUCAAGAAAGGGAGCCUCUGGUGAAUUCGGCAGUAGAUUCCAAACAGACACUUCACAGCCCACCUGAGGUUGAGAAUCUUUCCCAGAUGUGAGUUGCUGAGAGACCAGAAAGCCUCAGGUACCACUGCCGUUGAAUUAAAAAGAGGAGGAGGAAGGGAGGGAGGGAAGAAUUGCAACAAAAAUAGAGCAGAGGCUGAAAAAAAUAAAACAUCUGUGGGGAAAAGCA